GUUCAGAGAUGUCUGUCCUCAUUGCUGUGAGCCAGUGAGCCAGAGACAGUGAGCCAGAGAGACAUUGAAUCAGAGAGACAGUAAGCCAGAGAGACAUUGAGCCAGAGAGACAGUGAGCCAGUGAGCUAGAGAGACAGUGAGCCAGAGACAGAGAGACGGUGAGCCAGAGACAGAGCAACAGUGAGCCAGAGAGCCAGAGAGACAGAGAGACAGUGAGCCAGAGAGCCAGAGAGACAGUGAGCCAGAGAGACAGAGAGACAGUGAGCCAGAGAGACAGUGAGCCAGAGACAGAGAGACAGUGAGCCAGAGACAGUGAGCCA
Molecule: long non-coding RNA, 320 nt
Organism: Oncorhynchus tshawytscha (Chinook salmon)
Lineage: Eukaryota; Metazoa; Chordata; Actinopteri; Salmoniformes; Salmonidae
Source: Ensembl